Molecule: ribosomal RNA, 96 nt
Filed under: Canavalia grandiflora
Lineage: Eukaryota; Viridiplantae; Streptophyta; Magnoliopsida; Fabales; Fabaceae
Description: partial 18S ribosomal RNA
Rfam family: Eukaryotic small subunit ribosomal RNA
Source: RNAcentral
CCCGCGACGUUGUGAGAAGUCCACUGAACCUUAUCAUCUAGAGGAAGGAGAAGUCGUAACAAGGUUUCCGUAGGUGAACCUGCGGAAGGAUCAUUG